Molecule: long non-coding RNA, 964 nt
Filed under: Equus asinus (donkey)
Lineage: Eukaryota; Metazoa; Chordata; Mammalia; Perissodactyla; Equidae
Description: lncRNA (ENSEASG00005028972.1)
Source: RNAcentral
CAGACCGCUUGCUGGAAACUGAAAGACUGUGGGCAGCAGAAAUCUGGGCACCAAUGUCCUGUGGGACAUCCUCUCAGGGGGUCAGGGGAUACGAGGGCCACAAGAGGCAUCGGAAGCUAUCGAGGCCACCGCCCAUCAGAGUUUGAGCGCCCUUGUUGUUCUCUGCCAAGCUGUUGCUCAGGCUCUACCUCAACACCUCCAGAGACGGGGACCUUGCCUCCCCCAGGAUGCCCACCACCCUAAGACUGAGAGGAUGCUGGGAACAGCUCGCCGGUUUUAUUCGAUUUGCAUCCUCAGAGCCUGGAAGACUCCAGAAAUGUCCAUCCUGUUCUCUUCCACCCCCCACCAGCCUUUGCUGAGCCUUGAGCGAAGUCUGGGGGGUCUAAGACAAGCAAAUGCAGUCCCUGCCUUGAGGAUCCCAGAGUCUAGAGAAGGAGGAAGGCCAUGGGCAGGUGAUGAUGAUACAGUGUGAUGGUGCCACAGUGGGGUCGUGCAGGUGAGACAGUUGAGCAGACGCUCAUGGAAGGGGCUCCCACCAGGCACUGUGGGCUCUCGCCUGCCGGGCAGGUGGGAAUGAGUGACUGAAAGGCCUUCGCUCUGUGGGCCUGAGGUCAGCAGAGACUUCCUUGACUCGUACCAUCGAGAAGACAGGGCCUGGGAGGAGCAAUUAAAAGUAGAAAUGACUUGAAAGUCCAGAAAGAGAAGCAACGUUCGUAGCAGUUCUGGUACCAAAAUGCCUGCCAAAGGAUCCUAGGUAUGUAUGACAUGCGCCGCACGAUGACGUUGAGGUCAAUGACAGACUGUGUAUACGACGGUGCAGUACCAUACAGCCCAGGUGUGCAGUAGACUGCACCGUCUGGAUUCAUGUGAGUACACCCAAUGAUGUUCACACAAUGGUGAAAUCACCUAAAGACACAUUUCUCGGAGUGUGUCCCUGUCAUUAACUGGUGCGUGACUGUACAGU